This 439-nucleotide ribosomal RNA is filed under the name uncultured bacterium. Its description in RNAcentral is "bacterial SSU rRNA". It matches the Rfam family "Bacterial small subunit ribosomal RNA", at positions 954 to 1392 of the family's 1533-position model. The record is from RNAcentral.
GCAGAACGCGAAGAACCUUACCAGGUCUUGACAUCCUCUGACAACUCUAGAGAUAGAGCGUUCCCCUUCGGGGGACAGAGUGACAGGUGGUGCAUGGUUGUCGUCAGCUCGUGUCGUGAGAUGUUGGGUUAAGUCCCGCAACGAGCGCAACCCUUGAUCUUAGUUGCCAGCAUUUAGUUGGGCACUCUAAGGUGACUGCCGGUGACAAACCGGAGGAAGGUGGGGAUGACGUCAAAUCAUCAUGCCCCUUAUGACCUGGGCUACACACGUGCUACAAUGGAUGGUACAAAGGGCUGCAAGACCGCGAGGUCAAGCCAAUCCCAUAAAACCAUUCUCAGUUCGGAUUGUAGGCUGCAACUCGCCUACAUGAAGCUGGAAUCGCUAGUAAUCGCGGAUCAGCAUGCCGCGGUGAAUACGUUCCCGGGUCUUGUACACACCG